AGCAGGACUUUAGAGACCAUCAAAUUAAACUUCCUGUUUGAAGCCAUUUUAAAAACCACUAGAAACCAGGUCAUUACAUCUACAAGUGGAGUCAUAAUUAACAACAUAUUUGGUGAAUUGUUAUUAAUUUAUAAAUAUUGAAAUUAAAAUUGCUCUUAAAUGGGGCAAGGCCUUUUUAAUUGACAGGUGACUGUUGAAACCUUCGCUCUGGAACAGGGUGACUAGGUGUGGCACAACAACCGUCAAGCAUAUUUGUGAUUGUACACAAUGGCCAUCUAUUGUACUCAAUCUGCUUCAAAAGAAAAACUCACACAAAAGGGAUGACAAGUUUGUAACCCAAUGAGGUUUUUUUUUUAUUUGUAACAGAGUGGCAGAUUAGUGACAGGGCGGUGGCGUGGAGGAUCCGCCUCCUCUCGCCAACUCAGCCAAUGACAGAAACUCAGCCUUAAAAAAAUGCAAAUGUAUAAAAACAGGAAUGGGAACAGCAAACAUAGAGAAGUGUAGCCUUCACUUGGCUUCCCACACACACACAUACACACGCACACACACAUACAGGCUCGCUCUGUCAUGACCUUGACUCACACACACCUACAAAUUCACCCUCUUUCUCACACACGCUCAUUUUAUUUGGCUACGCAGGCUGAAAUGGGUACAAACGCACAACUUUGCUUUUGACAGUCACUUUAGAAAAGACAGUACGUGUUAUAAGAUCAUUCCUGCCUGUGAGACGACGGCGUCCGUCCGUCUGUCGUGCCGUAGACAGACAGGUAGACGAGCCAGACAGACAGUGAAAAGACACAGUCAGUGUGUGUGUGUGAUAGCCACUGUGAGGGACGAGCGGUCCCACAUUCAGCAGUGAACAGACGGAAAAGAAAAAACGUGCACACACACUUGGACAGACUAGUGCAGUGUACACAAGAGUCUGCUGUGAAAUACCAAGGUUGUGCGCACACGCAGACACACACACAGGUGGCAGGUUCGGAUGAGGCGCAGACACAUUCGCACUUGGAUGAGGCGGGAGAUCUAACGCACAGGAGCGGAGACGGCGUGUUACCCGUCUGGAAGAGCGUGAGAACUGCUGGAGAAGAUCAUUCUCUAAAACCACCAAACGACCGGCUGGUGGCGACCCGACGGGACCGCCUGCUCUGGCGUCGACCACGACCGCUCAGCAUCUUGACGGGUGGCGUCUGCUUUGAUAUGUGUUCAGAUGAUAUGAGCUAA
RNAcentral lists this long non-coding RNA (1221 nucleotides) under Oryzias javanicus (javanese ricefish). RNAcentral describes it as "lncRNA (ENSOJAG00000005397.1)". The record is from RNAcentral. Lineage: Eukaryota; Metazoa; Chordata; Actinopteri; Beloniformes; Adrianichthyidae.